This 253-nucleotide ribosomal RNA is filed under the name uncultured bacterium. RNAcentral's name for it is "partial 16S ribosomal RNA". It matches the Rfam family "Bacterial small subunit ribosomal RNA", at positions 524 to 776 of the family's 1533-position model. The record is from RNAcentral.
UACGUAGGUGACUAGCGUUGUUCGGAUUUAUUGGGCGUAAAGGGUCCGCAGGGGGCCGGCUAAGUCUGAUGUGAAAUACCAAGGCUCAACCUUGGAACUGCAUUGGAAACUGGUUGGCUAGAGUAUCGGAGAGGAGAUUGGAAUUCCUGGUGUAGCGGUGGAAUGCGUAGAUAUCAGGAGGAACACCAAAGGCGAAGGCAGAUCUCUGGACGAUUACUGACCCUCAGGGACGAAAGUAUGGGGAUCAAACAGG